This 820-nucleotide long non-coding RNA is filed under the name Solanum tuberosum (potato). RNAcentral describes it as "long non-coding RNA (STUB_LNC006814)". The record is from RNAcentral. Lineage: Eukaryota; Viridiplantae; Streptophyta; Magnoliopsida; Solanales; Solanaceae.
UUUUGCAAGGACUGUGACGAAGCAAUUCAUUCAGCCAGCAGCCUCGCCAAGAACCACCAACGCUUCUUAGCCACUGGAAUCCGUGUAGCCUUGAGCUCAAGCUGCAAUAAGGAAGCAGUAAAAAACCAACUGGAGCCACAACCACCUCAGCAGAAUUCUCAACAAGUUGGCUUGAAAAUGCCUACGCAGCAAUUGUCUGGUAUCACAUCACCAUCUUGGCCUGUCGAUGAUUUACUAGGAUUUCCAGAUUAUGAGUCUAGUGACAAGGUAAAAAAAACUUAUUCCUUUUACAUUUUGCAAGUACCCUAUGUUUUCGACUACUUGCGUGGCUGGGGAAUUGAUGUGUGGAGGACUUCUCUAGAUGAGAAGCUAUCAUUUUUCUUGGUAAAGCAGCUUAUGCAUUGAACUUGAAUUUGAAACACUUAAAUAUGCAAAACGACUUCCUUAGAUUCCUCGAUACAUAGGGAGACAUUUUAUAACACCAUUACAUGUAUAUAUGAAUUCAGUAUUACCGUGUAAUUGUCUAUUCAUCUAAUAUGUAAUGAAUAACCUAUAUGAUUGUUUCAAUCUAUACAGAAGGAUCUACUUGAGCUUGGUGAAUUUGAGUGGUUAGGAGGCAUUGAUCUCUUUGGUGAACAAACAGCAGCUGAAGUACCCGAGCUAUCAGUACCUCAGUCGAGCAACACAAAUAUUUACAGGACAACCAAAUAUCAAAUGCCUUACAAGAAGCCCAGAUUUGAAAUCCCAGAUGAAGAUGAGUAUUUUACUGUCCCAGAUCUUGGUUGAACACCAACUUCAAGAAGUUCCUAAUUAAAAGUAC